AUGUCCUUCAAACUGUACGGUCAACAGUUUGGUGAGAUAUUAAAGUUAGUAUAAUUAAAAAAUAAAAUAAAUAUUGAAGAGAUUGGAAACUGAGCUCUGCAGAUUGAACACUGAUUAAAAACGCAAUACAAAAAUCAAAGAAGGUAUUAACCAUGCACCGUCUCAUCUACAGAGAGAGUUCGAACAGGAACAGGACGUCGAAUCUCCUUUGUGUUUAUUGACGGGCGUUUUUAACAAUGGAUAGAGAUCACAGUGUACUCGGAGCCGAUUUCUCUAUGGACAGCUUGAAUUAAGUGAUCUAUACUCAGCUUGGCUUUGCAAUUUCAUAACGAACAGACCCACCGCGGAACAACGUUUGAAGACCUCAUAAUUGUAUUACCAAAAUACUGGCUCGAUACGUUCGAUAAAGCUUACAUUUGGUUUAACUAACGCACUUGCAAUGAUGAGAACCCACAUUCUAGCUAUUGCUGAGAUGUCGUAACAUUCUCAAAAAGUCACUGUUUUGUGCGCUCUAUGGACCGAAUAGAACGGGAAUGAUAAGCAAAUUGCAGAGUGUGAUUUUUGUUCGUCGGACUUCAGCUUUCAAUUGCCUAUUCAGUCCAAAGUGGCACCUGUUGGCCUGAGUUGGAUUUCCAGGCUGGCACUCUCGUUGGUGUUAAUACUGGUUCUAAGAUAGACGAAGUUAUCACGGCUUCAAGUUAUGACUCUCAACAGUGAGAUGAGAGGCGGGCGCGAAUGCAAUGAUGGUUUGCUUGAUGGCAGGAGAUAUUUCGUUGUAGGUAAAGUUUGCUUUUCAAAGUGUUUUUUGAGCCGAAAAUGUAAAAAAGAAUUAUUAGCCUGUUUAAU
Long non-coding RNA from Ceratitis capitata (Mediterranean fruit fly), 846 nucleotides. RefSeq lists it as uncharacterized. The record is from RefSeq and is a predicted model, not a curated record. Lineage: Eukaryota; Metazoa; Arthropoda; Insecta; Diptera; Tephritidae. The transcript has 3 exons.